CUACGGGUCGCACCAGUGAGGAAUAUUGCACAAUGGGGGAAACCCUGAUGCAGCAACGCCGCGUGGAGGAUGACGCAUUUCGGUGUGUAAACUCCUUUUAUCAGAGAAGAAAAUGACGGUAUCUGGUGAAUAAGCUCCGGCUAACUCCGUGCCAGCAGCCGCGGUAAUACGGAGGGAGCAAGCGUUAUUCGGAAUCACUGGGCGUAAAGGACGCGUAGGCGGGUUUUUAAGUCAGGUGUGAAAUCCUAUGGCUCAACCAUAGAACUGCACUUGAAACUGGGGACCUAGAGUAUGGAAGGGGCAGGUGGAAUUAGUGGUGUAGGGGUAAAAUCCGUAGAUAUCACUAGGAAUACCGAAAGCGAAGGCGACCUGCUGGGACAUUACUGACGCUGAGGCGUGAAAGCGUGGGGAGCAAACAGGAUUAGAUACCCCGGUAGUC
This 439-nucleotide ribosomal RNA is filed under the name uncultured bacterium. Its description in RNAcentral is "partial 16S ribosomal RNA". It matches the Rfam family "Bacterial small subunit ribosomal RNA", at positions 339 to 795 of the family's 1533-position model. The record is from RNAcentral.